CCUACGAGUGGCAGCAGUGAGGAAUAUUGGUCAAUGGGCUUACGCCUGAACCAGCCAAGUCGCGUGAGGGAAGACUGCCCUAUGGGUUGUAAACCUCUUUUGUCAGGGAGCAAUUGGCGCUACGUGUAGCGUUAUCGAGAGUACCUGAAGAAAAAGCAUCGGCUAACUCCGUGCCAGCAGCCGCGGUAAUACGGAGGAUGCGAGCGUUAUCCGGAUUUAUUGGGUUUAAAGGGUGCGUAGGCGGAAUGCCAAGUCAGCGGUAAAAUCGCGGGGCUCAACCUCGCUCCGCCGUUGAAACUGGUGUUCUUGAGUGGGCGAGAAGUAUGCGGAAUGCGUGGUGUAGCGGUGAAAUGCAUAGAUAUCACGCAGAACUCCGAUUGCGAAGGCAGCAUACCGGCGCCCAACUGACGCUGAAGCACGAAAGCGUGGGUAUCGAACAGGAUUAGAUACCUCAGUAGUC
RNAcentral lists this ribosomal RNA (460 nucleotides) under uncultured bacterium. RNAcentral describes it as "partial 16S ribosomal RNA". It matches the Rfam family "Bacterial small subunit ribosomal RNA", at positions 338 to 795 of the family's 1533-position model. The record is from RNAcentral.